GGUACUUUAGCUCAGUGGUUAAGAGCACACUCUAAACAGGAGUAACAAAGAGGUCCCGGGUUCGAAUCCUGGAAGUGCCA
Mycena olivaceomarginata is the source of this 80-nucleotide non-coding RNA. Lineage: Eukaryota; Fungi; Basidiomycota; Agaricomycetes; Agaricales; Mycenaceae. The record is from the annotation of a GenBank genome assembly.